RNAcentral lists this ribosomal RNA (253 nucleotides) under uncultured bacterium. Its description in RNAcentral is "partial 16S ribosomal RNA". It matches the Rfam family "Bacterial small subunit ribosomal RNA", at positions 524 to 776 of the family's 1533-position model. The record is from RNAcentral.
UACGGAGGGUGCGAGCGUUGUCCGGAAUCACUGGGCGUAAAGGGCGCGUAGGCGGCCUGAUAAGUAGGGGGUGAAAUCUUGCGGCUUAACCGCAAGGCUGCCUUCUAAACUGUCAGGCUAGAGCACAGUAGAGGCAGGUGGAAUUCCCGGUGUAGCGGUGGAAUGCGUAGAGAUCGGGAAGAACAUCAGUGGCGAAGGCGGCCUGCUGGGCUGUUGCUGACGCUGAGGCGCGAAAGCUAGGGGAGCAAACGGG